RNAcentral lists this ribosomal RNA (660 nucleotides) under uncultured bacterium. RNAcentral's name for it is "bacterial SSU rRNA". It matches the Rfam family "Bacterial small subunit ribosomal RNA", at positions 93 to 740 of the family's 1533-position model. The record is from RNAcentral.
UAGUGGCGAACGGGUGCGUAACACGUGGACAAUCUGCCUUAAAGUGGGGGAUAGCUCGGCGAAAGCCGAAUUAAUACCGCAUGUGAUCAGGGAAGACAUCUUUCCGAAAUCAAAGCCGGGGCAACCUGGCGCUUUUUGAGGAGUCCGCGGCCUAUCAGCUUGUUGGUGAGGUAACGGCUCACCAAGGCUUUAACGGGUAGCUGGUCUGAGAGGACGACCAGUCACACUGGAACUGAGACACGGUCCAGACACCUACGGGUGGCAGCAGUCGAGAAUUUUUCUCAAUGGGGGAAACCCUGAAGGAGCGACGCCGCGUGGAGGAUGAAGGUCUUCGGGUUGUAAACUCCUGUCAUUUGGGAACAAGUGCCAUACGUUAACUGCGUGUGGCUUGAUAGUACCAGAAGAGGAAGAGACGGCUAACUCUGUGCCAGCAGCCGCGGUAAUACAGAGGUCUCAAGCGUUGUUCGGAUUCAUUGGGCGUAAAGGGUGCGUAGGUGGCGCCGUAAGUGGGGUGUGAAAUUUCGGAGCUUAACUCCGAAACUGCAUUCCAUACUGCGGUGCUUGAGGACUGGAGAGGAGACUGGAAUUUACGGUGUAGCAGUGAAAUGCGUAGAGAUCGUAAGGAAGACCAGUGGCGAAGGCGGGUCUCUGGACAGUUCC